RNAcentral lists this ribosomal RNA (561 nucleotides) under uncultured bacterium. Its description in RNAcentral is "bacterial SSU rRNA". It matches the Rfam family "Bacterial small subunit ribosomal RNA", at positions 338 to 916 of the family's 1533-position model. The record is from RNAcentral.
CCUACGGGAGGCAGCAGUGGGGAAUAUUGGACAAUGGGCGAAAGCCUGAUCCAGCAAUGCCGCGUGAGUGAUGAAGGCCUUCGGGUCGUAAAGCUCUUUUACCAGGGAUGGUAAUGACAGUACCUGGAGAAUAAGCUCCGGCUAACUCCGUGCCAGCAGCCGCGGUAAUACGGAGGGAGCUAGCGUUGUUCGGAAUUACUGGGCGUAAAGAGUACGUAGGCGGUUAUUCAAGUCAGAGGUGAAAGCCCGGGGCUCAACCCCGGAACUGCCUUUGAAACUAGAUAACUAGAGUCUUGGAGAGGUUAGUGGAAUUCCGAGUGUAGAGGUGAAAUUCGUAGAUAUUCGGAAGAACACCAGUGGCGAAGGCGACUAACUGGACAAGUACUGACGCUGAGGUACGAAAGCGUGGGGAGCAAACAGGAUUAGAUACCCUGGUAGUCCACGCCGUAAACGAUGAUAACUAGUUGUUCGGUCACUUGGUGACUGAGUGACGCAGCUAACGCAUUAAGUUAUCCGCCUGGGGAGUACGGUCGCAAGAUUAAAACUCAAAGGAAUUGACGG